Molecule: long non-coding RNA, 2392 nt
Organism: Hemibagrus wyckioides
Lineage: Eukaryota; Metazoa; Chordata; Actinopteri; Siluriformes; Bagridae
Exons: 3
Source: RefSeq, a predicted model, not a curated record
UCUGAUCCAAUGUGAAGCAAUGUUUCCCUGUGUCACGUGCCAAGCCUUGCUAUUACUAGCCUUUCUGAUUGAUAUAUGUGUAUGAUCCUUGCCUGUUUUCCUGAUUCUACGGUUCCCGGUCUCUGUUUUGGUUUUGGUUUUGGUUGCUUAGUUAUUUGCUUUUCUGGUUUUUGAUCCUUUGCCUGAUCCACAUAUGGAUUCUACCUCUCCUGUGUCCAGUGAGUCCUUACAGUGCUGUGGUGUUUGGUGUGUUGUGGAAGCAGGGGGUGUGGACCUCUGCAAUUAAAAAAAGAGCUUGAACCAUGAACAUGCUUGACCUAAAAGAUGAUCUCUUCACCAUAACUGAUUUGUUUUUUGCUUUGCUUUAUGUAUUUAGCAACAGCAGUAGAAUAUUUACUUCACUGUAGGAUAUUUACUUCACUGUGAGCCUUUUUAGGCAAGUCCUGUACUGAAGAAAUAAUUUCUUAAAGUCUUGCCAGCAGCUAUUUACUGUUAAAAUGUACUUUGACAGGAGUUACAGAGUUGUACAGUAUUUUGUAAAAUUAGUGUAAAUUUAGUGUAAACAACCUAACGCUGCUUCAGUCCAAAUCCAAACAUCAUAAACUUUGAGAAAAAUGUCACGAUACAGAGUACAGGAGUCACAAGUUCAUCCGAUUAUUCAAGUUCAAGUCGUCCUCCUGGUCCUCCAUUUUGUUAAACGUUACAUUUUACAUGCAUAAAUGUACUGAUAUACUUAAAAACAGAAUUUCAUUCUUCAGGUAACAGGGUGGAGUGGACAUUUCCAUGUAACAGCACAGUCUGGAGUCCUAUACCAUAGUGAGUUUGUCAAAUGGUUAACAGUUACAUUCUCUGCCCUGAAGAUUUUCCUGAGUUGAGAAACUUUGACUGUAAAACCUGAGACUCCUUUCAUAAAUAUUAAGUAAAUAUUUUAGGAUAGAUUCAUCACCCGUUCGACCGCUGUAAAGGGGCUAAUGCUGGAGCUGAGGGGUUACUAACUCCACCUUAGGUAUCCAGAUUUUCCCCUACAGGCACUACACUGCUUGCAUUAUCACUAAGCCUCUCUAGAGUCUGGAUUGCUCACCUCUAAAGCUGUAAUGUUUUCCUACUAAAUGCUAACUAACAUAAUUCAUUUGUGUCUUCAGUACAGUGAAUAAAGUGAAUUCCUAUAAAUAUGGUAUUUCAGUUUGGUAAUGUAAUUAAAAAAUUUAUUUGAUUACAAAGACAGCCUUCUUCCAUCUUAGAAAUAUUGCCAAGCUUAGGAACAUUUUAUCUGUAUCUGAUGCAGAAAAGCUAGUUCAUGCAUUCCUGACCUCCAGACUGGACUACUGUAAUGCAUUACUAGGUGUUUGUCCUGCAUCUUCAACUAGCUACAGUUAGUCCAGAAUGCAGCCGCCAGAGUUCUUACCAGGUCAAGAAAAUUUGAUCAUAUAACCCCAAUAUUAUCAUCCCUGCACUGGCUACCUCCUUCUUAUAAAUUCAAAAUCAAAACCACUUAACAUGUUAAUGUAAGAAAAUCUGAAGGUUAGGAGAAAGUGUUUACUUGAUGUAUAAUGUGAUACUGCUCACUAGAAUUCCUCUCAUAUUUGCUAUCUUUCACACUUCAUAACGCAGCGUGGACUCUUUGUUUGACCUUGACCUUUAGUGCUUUCUAGUUUUCCAUGUUUCAGUGUUUGUAGGUUAGAACAAACUUUCUGGAAGAUUAUAUGAGAAAUAUUUUACAUUCUCUGACUGCCAUCAGCCAUUUUUCUUGUCCAUGGGGGAUUUUUUUCACUGUGGCUGUUAUCACUGCUAGCUUUGUUGGUUAGUUUUGUAUCUUAUGUUAGCUACAUCUGAAAUAUCAGAUAUCAAUGUUUAUACUUGAUACAGUUCUCAUUUUAAUGUAGUCAGUUACUCUUUAUAUUAUUACAAAGAACAGUCAAUCUUGUGGAAAGGUAAAAUAUCAAAGUGUACAGUAGCAGACUGCAAUAAAAUCACAUGAGUAAUUGUAACAGUCUGAUUUGUCUUGUACAUUAGUGUGAAAUAAUACAUGCUCUAGUUGGUUGAUGUCUGAAAGUCCACAGCGAUUGUGAAAACCAGGAGGAUGGGAACUUACACCUCAGGUUUAUUUAAAGCAGGAAAGAUAAAGUAGUGGGAUCAGAACUGGUACACAGGCAAAGCUCAGAGACUCCUUUCUCCUUGACUUCGCUAUCAAACAUUAAAGAUAUUUCUAGAUCCUGCAGAAUGAAGAUGACGAUCCUGUUCCUGACUCUGGUUCUUGCCUUGAUGCUGAUGAGCGGUUCUUCUCUGAAAUGCAACAGGUGUUUCACUCUUGUGGGUGAAAAAUGUAAAUCUGUGCCUGAACCCUGCCUUGGGGAAGAUGCCUGUGUCUCUUCUGUAAUGAAGAAACAAUCCU